GAAAGUUGGUACGUGCACCCUGGAUUUGGCGCAUGCUCAGUUGGUAGGUCGCAGCCCAGAGGGCUGUGGGCGGAAGCGGCUCCAUUCUCCAGAAGCUGCUACCCUGAGUCCUAUCUCCAUAUUGUGUCUCUGAGUGAUCCUGUGGGUCACGCAGCCUCCCUCCCUAUUAAGAGCUCCUCCAGGAUAUGAAUUUUUGAAGAAACACCACUAAAGCGAUGUGUCUUUUCCGGUGCAUAUCGAGGUGCAGAUGACAUUGGUUUCCCCCAGUAUUGGUGAUGUUCACUUGGCUGGAGUGCGUGGCGCAAUGUCAGCUCACUGAAACCUCUGCCUCCUGGGUUCAAGCGAUUCUCCUGCCUCAGCCUCCUGGGUAGCUGAAUUUCUAAGGGUCUCUCCAGGUCGCCCAGGCUGGAGUACAGUGGUUCACAGGGUUUCUCUGCAGCCUUUACCUACUGGGCUUACGUGAUCCUCCUGCUUCAGCCUCCUGUGUAGCUGGAACCACAGAUGCGUGCCACCAUGCCCAGC
Callithrix jacchus (white-tufted-ear marmoset) is the source of this 522-nucleotide non-coding RNA. Lineage: Eukaryota; Metazoa; Chordata; Mammalia; Primates; Cebidae. The record is from RefSeq and is a predicted model, not a curated record.